This 435-nucleotide ribosomal RNA is filed under the name uncultured bacterium. RNAcentral describes it as "bacterial SSU rRNA". It matches the Rfam family "Bacterial small subunit ribosomal RNA", at positions 30 to 466 of the family's 1533-position model. The record is from RNAcentral.
AUUGAACGCUGGCGGCAUGCCUUACACAUGCAAGUCGAACGGCAGCGGACCUUCGGGUGCCGGCGAGUGGCGAACGGGUGAGUAAUGCAUCGGAACGUGCCAUUGAGUGGGGGGAUAACGUAGCGAAAGUUGCGCUAAUACCGCAUAUUCUGUGAGCAGGAAAGCAGGGGACCGCAAGGCCUUGCGCUCUUUGAGCGGCCGAUGUCAGAUUAGCUAGUUGGUGAGGUAACGGCUUACCAAGGCGACGAUCUGUAGCGGGUCUGAGAGGAUGAUCCGCCACACUGGAACUGAGACACGGUCCAGACUCCUACGGGAGGCAGCAGUGGGGAAUUUUGGACAAUGGGGGCAACCCUGAUCCAGCCAUGCCGCGUGAGUGAAGAAGGCCUUCGGUUGGUUAAACUAGUCGUUUUGUUACGGUAACGGAAACGGUUACUC